CAGAGGCCAAGUAAGCUGUGAGGGACAUCGCUGACUGAAUUUUUCCCAUUUCCUAUAUCCAUGCCCCGAUUCCCCAACACUCAGAGUUGGAAACACCUCCAUCCUGCCUCUCCCUACCAUGGGCUUCUUGCUCCUCUGCUGUGUGGCCUUUUGUCUCUUGGGAACAGGUUCCAUGGAUGCUGGCAUUACCCAGACCCCCCAGAAUGGGAUUAUAAAGAAAGGAAAGAACAUUUCACUGGAGUGUUCUCAGACUAAGGGUCAUAACUAUAUGUACUGGUAUCGACAAGACCCGGGAAUGGGGCUACGGCUGAUCUCCUACUCCUUUGGUGUCAUUUAUAUUAAUGAAGGAGAGGUCUCCAAUGGGUACAGUGCCUCUCGAACGGACCUGGAGAAAUUCUCCCUGUCUGUAGGGACUGCCAUUCCCAACCAGACAGCUCUCUACUUCUGUGCCAGCAGUGAUUCACACAGUGCUUAUUGGUCACCUGCUCCCCAUACAGAAAGCAGGCACAUUUGCUCGGACCACACAGAAGUCUUCCUCCAUGUGGGACAUGGGGACCUAGAGGGGUCUGAGUAG
Non-coding RNA from Nyctereutes procyonoides (raccoon dog), 574 nucleotides. The record is from the annotation of a RefSeq genome assembly. Lineage: Eukaryota; Metazoa; Chordata; Mammalia; Carnivora; Canidae.